CCCACACUUUAGUAUUCUCGCGGUGUCGUCCGGUGGUGGUGUUGUCCCGUGGUGUGCCGUACCGCGGUGUGUCGUACGAGGAGACUUCCUCAUUCCAGAAUCGAGCUAUUGUGAAGUCUCCUCCCACCCCAGCUCACCCCUACCUCAUCAUAUGCCCACCUUCCACUUCCUUACUCUCUUCUCUAACUUCGCGAGGCCCAACCGCAUUACUCGAACGAUGCUUAUUUACUUACUUGGUUCGUUCCUUUCGCGGAAAACCAUACUCCUUCCCAAAGCAAUUUUCUUUACUCCCAACGUGUAUUCUCUAUCCCUUGUGUAUCUUAUGGUUUAAAUCCGAGACCUCCAUUAUUCUUGGUGCGACUUCACGCAGCUUUUCGGAGAAACGAACGUUUGAGAUUACCACAAGAAAGUUUCUAACAUUUGCCAUAUCCUAUGAUUUUGCACGCUCUUAUAAAAUCGUAAAACCUUGCCUUGGACUAUCUCCAGCAAUAGCGAACAUUCCUAACGUUUGACGUUGCUUCUAAUAGUAAACACAAAACCUGGCAAAGUUUGAUAGAGAGAGACAGAGAGAGAGAGGGAGAGAGAGAGAGAGAGGGAGAGAGAGAGAGAAUCUACAGUAUAAUAACAAUAUAAUGCUUAUCUAGCACGCAAAAUGAGUGACAUCGAUGAGUACACAUUUCUCACUCCGCAACCUCUUCAUUUUCAUUUAAUCAGUAAUCACUAUUCAUACCAAACGUGAUCACAAUGGCGACAAUGGACACAGUACGUAAUAACAAGCUCGUUAAUUACUUUACUACUGAUGUAUAAAAAUUAAACUCAUGUGGGAAAAAAAAAAGAAAUAAAAAUAAAAAUUGAAAUUUGCGAAAAACAAAUUCGAAUGUCUAACGCAAAUGAAAUUUCGCAUGUGACAAAAGAUAAGGAAAAUUUUGUUAAUCAUUUUAACGAAAGAAAUUGAUCGAGAUACGAAUUAGUUCAUAUAAGAUAUAGCAAGCCCAUAUGUCGAUCUAUGUUAUUUGAAGAGCUUAUCACGAAUAAACACAUUGCGCGUUGUCGAGUUUGUUCUCUUGUAUUAUAGUAUAACAAAACGAGGAAUUCUCUAUAACGAUAUAUAUAUAAGUUGAAUGAGAAUGAUCAGCGAGAUCUCGUAGAAAUAACGUGAUCCAAAUGCAAUGAUUACAAAAUGUUUUUGCGGUAUUGGGCUAGAAACACGAGUAAAAUGAUAAAACCAUAAUGUCGCCAUAGAGUAUCGCAGUAUUGACAACGUAUACAAGUAAUAGUAAUAGUAGUAGUAAUAGUAGUAGUAGUAGUAGUAGUAGUAGUAGUAGUAGUAGUAGUAGUAGUAGUAGUAGUAGUAGUAAUAGUAGUAGUUAAGGCACAGGUAGUACGAGGAAAGCAAAGAGUUAAAUGUCAAAGCCUCCCCGCAGCAACAACAGCAAUAAUAGUAACAGUAACAGCAGCAAAGUAGCUGGGUAAGCAAUAGACAAGUAAAGCAGAAGUAAGGAAGGAAGGUAGGCAAGCAAGCAAGCAGGCAGGCAGGCAGGCAGGCAGGCAGGCAGGCAGGGAGGUAGACAAGCUAAGCAAGCAAGUAGCGAACGCAUAGAGAGUGCCAUGUUCGAUGAAUAUAAAAAAUUCGAGACCUUGUUCGACUGCAUCUGGGUCAUACAGCGCGUUCGUUCGUAGUCUAACGACGACGCAAGACGUUCUAAGUGGAAAAUGAGUGGCUGCUCACUUGUGCUCAUAAGGUUAAACGAGUGUGGUGCAAGCAGUUCUCGGUGUAACGAUGUUAACGAUGAUCGCAAAGGAGAAGGCAUCUCCAAGUGGAAAGACGUUUAUUGUUCGGUGACAUUGGCAAUGUAACGAACGGAGAUGCGUCGUAAAAUUUUUUGGGAAAAACAAAUUGAAAUUCGAUAAAAACGGCGAUUGAUUAAAAUGAAAAAAAUAACACGAGCAAAAUAAAAUAUCAUCGUAUUUCAAUACGAAGUGACAACGCGUUGUGAAAUCGCUUUUAUAUCCAUUUAAAUGUCCAAGUGAAAAUCCCGAUCGUAUCGAACAUAAAAAUCUAAAUAUCUAACAUUGUCCUUAGAAACGAACUAACAGGCUUGAGCUCGCUCAUCGUUCUACGUCGAUCGAAGAUAAUUUAAAUGAUCGUUACUUUACGAGGUAGAAAUAUCGUUGCUAGAAGGUGAAUCUAUUCGAUCGACUCUCCGUAUAGUCUAUCGCUCCUUCCACUGGUUGGAUUUCUUACUUAUUAUUCGUCAGAUUGUGUAACGUUCUCUACAAUAGUGCCAACAUAAGGACCAAUCCGUCUCUGGCUUGCGAAGAUCGAACGUAAAUCGAGAAACGGAGAAGAAGAAGAAGAAGAAGAAGAAGAAGAAAAAGGAAAAGGAGAAGGAGAAGAAGUGACAGAGAAGGAGGAGGAGGAAGAGGAGGACGACGACGAAGAAAAGGAGGGGACUGUAUCGUCGCCAAAGAGGAUGGAGUGGCGCCAAACGGCGUGGAUGCGAUUCGAGUUCUCGGCCGAAUAACAAGUAAAUCAAGCGUGUAAUUGGAAUUCAAUUCGCACAGUGGCACAGAUACAAGGCAUUACGAUUCCAUCGGCAGCAGGCUCGUGCAAGCAAGCAAGCAAGCAAGCAAGCAAUUUUCGAAUCAUAUCUUUUUGGAUUAUUAUGAUUGCUCAACUAAUACUUGGUUGAGAUCUUAAUUCUCAAAGGAAACAAAAUCUAUGGAUGAGUAAAUAUCAAGCAACACAGUAUUACACAUGGUGAAAUAAAACGAAUUCCUUUUUCGAAGCGGAAAGUGUAGGUAUGCGCUAAUGAACGCUCUCCGAACGAAUCGUUAGGUGGGCGUAAGAAUGCUAGUGCGGAUCGUAAAUUAUAAUAAGAAAAUAGAUAGUACAGGGAUUGCUUCUGCAUCGCCAUUGUAGUUCGCGCCGAGUGAAAAGCCACGAGCGUCGUAAUCGACUCGAGACGGAAUUCAAUGUUUCUACCCACGGAAGUGAAGAGAAAAGAAGAAGUUUUGCUCUUCGUUCUGUACAUGAAAACGAUAAGAUCAGACUAACAGAGAAAGAGAGAUUUCAAAAAAGAGAAAAAAGAAAUCAAGGAAACAAAAGAAAAAAAAGAAGAAGAAGAAGAAGAAGAAAGAGGAAAAUAAAAAACUAAAUGACCGACCUUUUUGUUCGAACGAAAAAAUCACAUAUUAGAUGUUCAAUCUCUAUCAUCAUUAUUUAACAAUUAUAUCUCCAAUUAUGUGAGAAAAUAUUAGAAUAGACACUGCAAUGCUUUUAAAAUAUUACAUCUUACGAGUUUUCAGGGCCAACGAAUCGUAUUUGAGUCACACGUUUUCACAGUGUGAGCUCAAAAACUCCUUGAUAAUUAAAAAAAUUAAUUUCUCCUUUUCGAGAUUCUUUUAUCCUAAUUUGUUUGUUUUUCUUUCUUUCUUUUUCCCCGUCCUCCACCCUCCAGAUAAUAAAACUAAAAACCUAACUUGUGAAACUACAAGCUUAAUUACAAUAAUUUAAAAAUCACGAAUAAUAGUAAUUGAUUUUUUUAAAUUACAUAAAAACUUUGGCCCACCCUUUGCCUCACCCUUAUAGAAAACGUAUCUACAUUUGAUUUGCUAAUCAUAGCAAUCUGACGUUUCUAAUAACACGAUUUUUUUCGAGAUAAAGAGAAAGAGAAAGAGAAUGAAAUAGAAAGGGGGAGAAACAGAGAAGGGGAGGGAAGAGAGAGAGAGAGAUAGAGGGGAAGGAAGGGCGCAUGAAGAAAAAAGGGGAUGAUAGAGAAGGGUUCGAGGAAAGGAGAAAUGGUAUCAUUGAAAAUAGCGGGCAAUCCGUUAUCAUAUAGUGGGGGAGGAAUAAAAGUGUGAGGGAGAAAAAGAGAGAGAAAAAAGGGGGGAGGAAGAGUGGUAUAGCAUAGAAGGUUAACAAAAUCAAUAACAGUGGGUGGUUGAAACAGGGCUGGCCACCCCGGCCAGCCGUCCCGGACUUGCUGGGGGGCUAGGUCGGCCACCGACCUUUAUCCAGGCCAACUGCAUCAUCCCCAUUUCCACGCGUGCAUGCGCGCGCUCCAACUCUACUAUUCUCAUGGCCAGCCCUUUUUCCACGAGCUAAAGUAGUAACUCAGGUAAUAAACAACUUAACGAAGCACACAAGAUAAAAGUUAAUAUCAACGAACGGGGCUAAGUUGAGAAAGAAAGCAAAAAUAGAAAAAAAUGAACAAAGAAAUGAGAGAGAGAAAGAGAAAGAGAGAAGAAAAAAAAAGAUAAAACUGAUACGAAUCGAAAUGUAACUUUUCUAAUAUAUGAAAUAUUCUUUCGACAUUAUGUGAAGUGAAACGUUAGAGAUUCAAACAAGGAAAUGCAUGAAGAAUCCAAUUUCUUUUUAAGCCCCCCUGCCUCUCUCUCUCUCUCUCUCUCUCUCUCUCUCUCUCAUUUGUUACUUAUAGAAACGUUAAAGAAAAUUCGCCUUCCGGGAAGAAAAUUGGAGCGAGCUAAGCGAGAGACCAAAGUCCCUCUAGUCUUUAUAUAUAGAUUCGCGAGAGCUACUUGUAGACGAGCGAGCUCAAAAGCGAACGGUUGUUUUUAACUUCGCUAUAUGAGGAAUAUAUGAUAACGAUCGAACAAA
Molecule: long non-coding RNA, 4621 nt
Organism: Vespa crabro (European hornet)
Lineage: Eukaryota; Metazoa; Arthropoda; Insecta; Hymenoptera; Vespidae
Exons: 4
Source: RefSeq, a predicted model, not a curated record